GCCUCCUCCCGGACGGGACAACCGGAUAGGGUAGAUGACGAAGAGGGAGAGGAGGUCGACGCAGCCGCAUCAUCCGCAUACCCUCAACCUUCAUUCUCGAACUCAUCGAAGGACCACGACGACGUAGACAUUUACCUGAUCAACCGGAAGAAGGGAAAAGAAGGACGGGAAGAGCGUAGAGUAGGAACGGGAAUCAGAGAGCAGAUGGAAGAGGAUAGGGAAAUGAGGAGGGGGCCCUCCACCUUUUAUAGCCGAAAAACGGGCUCCAAGAGAACAUCUCAGCCGUCCAUUGAUGACAGAUCCAACAGAGGGAAAUUUGUGACUCUUCGGUGAACAGGUAUGAUUGAUGGGAGGGAAAAUCGUAGCCAUUGCUGAGUACAGGAUCGAAUGGCUGGGGUGACGUGACGUUUCGUUACCCAAAAGCGUUCUGAGAGCUUAAACCCCUUCGCUAAUCGAAGACGCUCGGGGCUUGGGGGGCUUGUGUAGUGGGGAAGGGUCGGCUGAGUCGGCCGGAUCAAGAGUGCUGAAAGAAGACCGGUCGGCCAGGUUGUCAAAGCCACAAGGGGCAAAGGAGGCN
RNAcentral lists this long non-coding RNA (577 nucleotides) under Vigna radiata. Its description in RNAcentral is "long non-coding RNA (VRAD_LNC003700)". The record is from RNAcentral. Lineage: Eukaryota; Viridiplantae; Streptophyta; Magnoliopsida; Fabales; Fabaceae.